This is a long non-coding RNA of Bicyclus anynana (squinting bush brown), 1417 nucleotides long. RefSeq lists it as uncharacterized. The record is from RefSeq and is a predicted model, not a curated record. The transcript has 2 exons. NCBI's taxonomy places the organism in Eukaryota, Metazoa, Arthropoda, Insecta, Lepidoptera, Nymphalidae.
AUUAUGUACGCAGCAUUACUCGUCCGAGUUAUGCAGUGAAGAAAAUAUUCUUUCUUUCGAAAUUUCUUUGCAAAAUACGCUUUAAUCGACACAGAAGUGAAUAGAAAUUUGUAAAGCCUCCAUCGCACUCCUUCCUUAACUAUACUAAGAGCUCACGACAGUGAUGCCAACUUUGCUACAUUAUAGCUAGAUCAGGGGCCUAAUUGUCUAACGCAAACGAUUGAAUUUGACAGUUGAAAUCGUACGUUUUUACUUGUCAAACGGCUAUUUCGGAUUGUGUAAGCCAAUGGAAAGCCAUCGGUUGGGCAUAGUUAGUUCAUUACGAUUAGAUCGUUAUUUUUAUACGAAGAGUGAAUGAUUUGAUAUGAUUUGACAGUUAUUUGCGAUUGUCUUCGAAUUGUGUAAAGUUUUAUGUUGUCUUGAGUCACCUUUGAUCGUAAAACGGACAAAUUGUGGAUGUCCAAAAUUCCAAAAUAAUUAUUUAUAUUUUAUUAAAUAUCUAAAAUUAAUAUUUUUUUCCAUUCUAAAUCUCUCAAUUCAGUCUCCCCGACCACAGUUAGCAUUUUUAGGACGAAACUUGGCGAAGUGUUUAGUGCUUUGUUUGUAAACAAUGAACUCUCUUAGAAAAAGUAAUAAAUAAUAUAUUCUUUGCAGUGAACCUAUAAAGUCAAAACAAUGAAGUUAAUUCAGUGCUAUUAAUCGAUUUAUAUAGGAUGCUGAGACUUGGACUCUGAGAGAAAGUGAGAAAAAGAAGAUACACACUCUAGAAAUGUGUUGUAGAAGAACGCUUGCAUAUCCUGGACACAGUUUCGAAACAACAUCUCACUCCUCCAAGAACUGGGGAUCAAACAGCAUCUUUCUUCCAGCAUCUAAUGUCUUACACACACUUCUUUGGACGUACUAGACAAAGAGACGAUAAGUCCAUAUCCUUAGAGAGACAUAAACUCACUACCUACGAUAUUUAAUACCUUAUCAUGUUGUAGAUUUCUGCGACAUCUUGCAUGUUGUUGUAUCCAAUGUGUUUGGAUUUGUGUUCCUGGGCUUAUGUGUGUGGUUUAGUUAAGUUUACUUAAGUUUGCUGGCUAUUAAGCAAAAAGGAAUCGAAUUUCAUUUUUAAAAGUAUGAUUAUGCCAAACGAACUCUUUCGUCAUCGCUCAUAGGAGAUUUGGAAUAUGCCCUAUAACUGCAGACUCCAAUAUUGCAAAUAGCACCUGCAAUACAGUGGAAUAACAUAUUGGUGUGCUGAAGAAAAGAUGGCAAAGGCUUUUAGCUGAUAGGAUAUUGUAAUGAUGACCCUGUUCUGUUCAAAUCAUAAAUGUGUGUGUAUUAUCAAAAUAUUUGCAUAGAUUGUGAAAUGCUGAUGAUAUUUAAUUUGGUUGGAUUUUGAUAUUUGAAAAUAAAAGAAUACUUACUUUGC